CGAUGAUGACGACGACGACGACGACGAUGAUGAUGAUGAUGAUGAUGAAAUCUUUUACUAUUAUCAUCAUCAUCAUCAUCGUCGUCGUCGUCGUCGUCG
Molecule: microRNA precursor, 99 nt
Filed under: Bigelowiella natans CCMP2755
Lineage: Eukaryota; Cercozoa; Chlorarachniophyceae
Description: miRNA EPrBNAG00000013679
Rfam family: mir-598 microRNA precursor family
Source: RNAcentral